GAUAUCAAACAGUUUUGUUGUAGAUGAGGAGGCGUGUGCCGACAAUCGUUCGUCCCUUCGGGGACAUCCGAUAAAAUUGGAACGAUACAGAGAAGAUUAGCAUGGCCCCUGCGCAAGGAUGACACGCAUAAAUCGAGAAAUGGUCCAAAUUUUUUUGAGAAAUUUCAGUCAGGUUUUGUGGAUGAGAAAGUUGAUUUUUGCGGGAUGGAAGUGUUUCAGGGUUUGCUUGAGUUGGUUGUGAUGUACUCAUUACGGUGAACAAAGGAGGAUUAGGCUUUGCAGCUGGAGCUGGUGCCGGUGUAGGGCAGAAACCCUUCGGCUGAGGGUGGAAGCGGACGUCGGAAACCUUGUUAAUAAUUUCGGAUUCUUGGUUAAUGUGGCUUCGAUUGUCUUUGACGCUCGUUAUGCUGGCAAAAUAGGUAGAAACUAUUUGAUAACAUGCAUAGUUGAUUUGUAUAUAUAUGCAAAUGUACUUCAGAAUGAGAACUUCCUGAGGCAGACCAUAUUUAGGUACUUGGUUUUUUAAUGGUUGAUUUAGAAGUGUAAUGAAGGUAAUUCAGUAUAUUUCUUCAUAUAUUUUUUGUUCGGGAACAUGGCAUUUGGAAAAUUAGUGUUCUUGGUGUAAUUUCCUUUGCGAAUGUUUCGCUGCUGGGCAUGUUAAUAAUAUGUGAUGUCUAAGAUAGUGAAUUUCAACUGCAAGAUAUGUAAAUAGGAAAAGAUAGAGUAAAAUGUGGACUUGAGUUUUAGAUGUAGAUUAAUAUGAUGCUGAAAAGCUCUUUCUUCUGAAUGUGAUAUGGGACUCCAGAGUGUUCUUGCAUCUUCUUUUCUUUCUAUCUUCAGAAAGUCGAGAAUUCUGAAAUGCUCAAGAGGAUGGUGGGAAUAAGAUAAAGAUUUCAUGUAGUUUGGUGUGGAAACGUUUGAUGAAUGUCACGCAUGGUGAUCAAGCUAACAUACUGAAUUUAUUGUAGUCGGUAGAAACACGUUGGAUAUGAAAACAUUAGGUUCAGAGUUCUUCUAACAGAUUUCUUAAUCCCGGUAGAAGUGCUUUCUAUUUACUUCCCCAGAGCCACUGUGCGGGUAUUCACUUUUGCUUAUGGUAUCUCCAUUGUUCACAUAGCCUGGAUGCCCGUAGAGAUCAAUGUAUAGGAACCCUAGCUAAAGACUGAUGGAAAAUAAAGUGCAUAUCAGCGAAUGUUGACUGAUAUCCUGUGAAAACAUAUGGAACAGUUGAUUGUUUACAGGCAGGUAAAUACGCUGCUAGUGCCAUCCACUUCUGCUGCAAUUUAUAUGUUUGCAAGUUCGAAUAGAAUGAUACACUGCAACUGUAUCUAUAACUCACUGCUUAUCAACUCUUGGGAAGCUGCCGUAGAUUUUGUUGGUAAAUCUUCCAGAAAACACGCCUCUUAGAUGUGUUAUCUUCUAUCGUUUGUCAUUUUGGUUGUUAAGUGCAUGUAUUGUUUGUCCAUGACUCAUCUCAUUCUUAAUCUGAUAACAUCUAGUUGCAGAGUUGAAGAUUAUUGCAUUUUGCAAUACCUUGAUUUAUUUGUUCUUUUAAGAGGGAAUCUUCCAUGUAUAAUAUGGGCUAAGGUACUAAGAAUCACAGUAUAAUGCUUGCAGCAACACUUUCUCCAAAAUACAACAAUGUAUUUGAUUUCAACUUCUUCAUGAUAAGCCACGGCCUUCUGCCAGUAAAACUGACUAAAUCUUUAAAAGAAAGAAUUAACUUUCUAAUGUACUAGAGCAUUCAAGGGUCGUUACUUAGCAAUGGAUAAAAGAUGAUUUUGGGGACCGAAAAUUAUAAACAAAAUCAUGCAACCUAGGAUAUAGGGUUCAGAAGUCAUGUGGCCUUGAAAACCAUCUUACGAAAACCAUUUUAUGAGUCAUAAAUGCAGUACACAAUCCAAGGGGUCAAAGUCCCAAGAAUGAAGGCAAUGGAUUCAGGGAAAACUGGGGGCUCGGCAAGGGGCGUUUGUGGAGGACUAUUUGGUAUCUGAAGGAGAAGUGCAAGCUAUAAAUGGACGGUUAAUGAAUCACCAGAAGCGAAGUUCCAAGGAUCUAUCAAGAUGGAGAUGUGUGCCUCCACAAUGGCGAGAAACAUCCAUUACAUCAUCUUCUUUCCUUUUUGGAUAAAACACGAGCAGAACAUGCAAACACCAAGACUUGGUCCACCCAGAAACUUGAAGGAGCAUGGCCUUUCGAAUUGAGAUGCCGAGAGUGGAGGAGUUCAAUAACCUGGCAGAAAAUAGAAAUGGUACCUUUGCUUGGAGAUGAAAAUGCUGCUAGCCUACCGGAGCUUGAGUCACAUUGCUGCUUUUUCAUCAUACAAAUGAGGAUUCCUCCACGUUCACCAUUAUUGUCCAGUUUCACAAGUAAAUAGCUCGUAUAGAUUCUCAGGUAACGGAGUGAUAUACAUUGUGAUUCAAUCACUCUUGCAGUUUGUACCUAUCAUCAACUUUCUGCUUUUUGUGUAUCAAAAAAUUUUCAGGCUACACUGAUACUUGUUCUGUACUCAUUAAGCAGAAGUCUGAAUUUGUGUUGCACAUCCAGCGCCACCAUGGCAAUUGCUACAUAUUAUUACCUAAAUCAAGAAACCCCAUACUUGUUGCAGGCUAUCAAUCCAUCCAUACUCACUCUUGGUUCCAACUUAUACAGAAAUAAAUCUUUUUAGUGUCUUCUUGAAUUUCGAAUUUGAU
Sesamum indicum (sesame) is the source of this 2693-nucleotide non-coding RNA. The record is from RefSeq and is a predicted model, not a curated record. NCBI's taxonomy places the organism in Eukaryota, Viridiplantae, Streptophyta, Magnoliopsida, Lamiales, Pedaliaceae.